This is a non-coding RNA of Potamilus streckersoni, 73 nucleotides long. The record is from the annotation of a GenBank genome assembly. NCBI's taxonomy places the organism in Eukaryota, Metazoa, Mollusca, Bivalvia, Unionida, Unionidae.
GCUCCGGUGGCCUAGUGGUUAGAGCGUUCGCCUCUGGUGCAUGAUAUCGCGGGUUUGAACCCUGGCCGAGUCA